RNAcentral lists this transfer RNA (69 nucleotides) under Marmota monax (woodchuck). It matches the Rfam family "tRNA". From Rfam's summary of the family: Transfer RNA (tRNA) molecules are approximately 80 nucleotides in length. Their secondary structure includes four short double-helical elements and three loops (D, anti-codon, and T loops). The record is from Rfam by way of RNAcentral. Lineage: Eukaryota; Metazoa; Chordata; Mammalia; Rodentia; Sciuridae.
GGGGUUGUAGCUCAAUGGUAGAGCGCUUGUCUAGCAUAUGAGAGACACUAGGUUCAAUUCUCAACACUG